This 167-nucleotide ribosomal RNA is filed under the name Heteroconger lentiginosus (masked garden eel). RNAcentral's name for it is "partial small subunit ribosomal RNA". Lineage: Eukaryota; Metazoa; Chordata; Actinopteri; Anguilliformes; Congridae. The record is from RNAcentral.
CACCGCGGUUAUACGAGAGGCUCAAAUUGAUACUCAACGGCGUAAAGUGUGAUUAGAGAAAAUAUAAACUAAAGCCAAACACCUCCCAAGCUGUCAUACGCUAACGGAACCAGAGGCCCUUCAAUGAAAAUAGCUUUAAAAUCCUUGAACUCACGACCAUUAGGAAA